RNAcentral lists this ribosomal RNA (250 nucleotides) under uncultured prokaryote. RNAcentral describes it as "partial 16S rRNA". It matches the Rfam family "Bacterial small subunit ribosomal RNA", at positions 525 to 775 of the family's 1533-position model. The record is from RNAcentral.
ACGUAGGGGGCAAGCGUUAUCCGGAAUUAUUGGGCGUAAAGAGUGCGUAGGUGGUUUUUUAAGCGUGAGGUGAAAGGCAAUAGCUUAACUAUUGUAAGCCUUGCGAACUGGAAGACUUGAGUGCAGGAGAGGAAAGUGGAAUUCCUAGUGUGGCGGUUGAUGGCGUGGAUAUGAGGAGGAACCCCGGUGGCGAAGGCGACAUACAGGACUGUAACUCACUCUGAUGCACGAAAUCGUGUAGAGCAAGCAG